AUCACUUGAUGAUUAUCUGUUCAUUCCCUCUGGGGCACCUGGCACUGGCCACUGUCAGAAGACAGGAUACAGGGCUAGAUGGACCUUUGUUUUGAUCCAGUAUGGCUAGUCUUUUGUUCCUUAUGUUCUUGGUUGGAUGAACCAGUCCUGGCUAUUAGAGGAGCAGAUGAUUUCAAAAGACCACUGUCUUGGAUCUGGGAAUCCUGGGCAGACUAAUUCCUUUCCUUUAGAGUAUGACAGAAAAACUCAUUUCCUCCUUCCUUCUAUUCCAAGCUUCGUUCCUUUUUUCAAAGACUCGCCUCUAGGGAGCACAGAGAGAUCCAUGUGCACAAAGUGCUCGUCCAACCUGUAGCAGUGGAGGCCUGCUCUGGCCUCAGCCAGCAAGAACAGGCCUUGCCAGAGAAGCCCAAGAGAAGCAAAUGCUCGUGGAAGAUCCUGUCAGGCAUGAAAAGACUCUGUGUUUGUAGCCAAUCUGACAACUUGAUGGCAGAUAUUGAUCAGGAGAGAACAGUUUCCUCUCCAAGAAGGUGGACGUGCUUUUCCCUGAAGAAGGAGGAGAAGAAGAAGAAGAAGAAGAAAAAGAAAGCAGCCAAGAACCAGGUGGAGUCAGAGGAGGAGAAACUGCAGGAGAAGCAAGACAAUGUUGAACUGGAUCUUACAGGCGAGGAUACAAACCACAUGGUUAGCAAGGAACAUGUGAGGAAUACUCACACCAGUCACUCUACAAGCCUUAUGUAAGUGGGGGAACGGUGGGGAACUUUCCUGGCUUCUGCACUACUCUGGUGAAAUGGGCUAGCGGAAGGAUCUGAGUCCUCACUUCCACUUCCUUUUCCCCGGGGCCUCCCUGCCCUCGAGGAUUCCCCUUCCACUCUACUGUCUGGCAGAGUCCAAAGCACAGGGUCUGCACCAUUAAGAGAAAUAACGGGGAAUAACGUCAUCCAGACUCUUCUGAUCUUUCCAUAAGGUUCCGUCCUGCUUCCAUUCCAGGAAUGGGGGGAAGGUUCAGGAGCUUCCAAAUGUCUCCUCCCCUCUCAGGAGCCAAUCCUCCUUUGUAACACGCUGGAGAGGAAAUGAGACAUGACAAAAGGACAACAGCGAAUGGCAAUGGAGGCAGGGGGCAGAUUGGGAUAGUUGAGUGAAAUUCUUUCCCCACUCCAGGCAAUGAAGACCAUUUACGAGGUCCUUUCCUAUGGGGAUACCGAGAAGCCAUCCUGGAAAUGUAUCCCCAGCUGCUCAUCCUCUGCAUCAGGCAAGUGCAGUAUGUGAUGGAUCUGCACUUGCCAGGGACCUACACGGCCAGCGAGACAUCCAGCCCCGAGGAGGGAUCCAGCUGCCUCAGUCCCCUAAGCAGUGGAGGCUGUGAAGACUCUUUUCUCCAUGUCCGGCUACUAGAAGGAAUUUGCCAUCAUCCAGUUUCAGCAGGGUUGGGACAUGAUAGCCUCCCAAUAAUACUACUCACAGGGUGUUGGCCUGAUUCCAAGAGCCAUGAUCGAGUUUGAGAUCCCUCAGCUCCCUGCAGUUUUCAAAGAGGCAAUCACCAUCGUCCAGAGUGAGAGGGAGGAGGAGCAGAGAACGAUCGCCAUGGCUUUCUGCACUGAGUUUCUCCAGAGUCCUUCCAUUGACACAGUACUGACAAAAUCAGAGCUCCGGGCGCAGCUCAAGGAAUGGACCAAAGACACAAAUCCCGUCAUAUGGAGGCUCAGUCUGUGAGGCCUUGGCAGUAUUGUGCUCCAGCCAGAAAAGGUGAGAGGCGUGGAUUGCCCAGGGGACCGAUGUCUCUCAAAUAGCUCGGAAAUGAGAGCGAGAUCCCCACACAAACCUUGUUGUUUUUAACACACAACACUGACAUGUUGGAGGUGCUUUACUGAGCAAAUCAAGGCAUGACAUGCUCCCUUCUCCCGUGAGCUGACCCCUGAUUGCAGAUGUGAUGUAAUGUGGGAGGUGGGGAGAGCAAAGACAAAGGUUACAGUGAGCAGCUGGCACAGAGUGACAGGAGAAUGACUUUCUGCCCCGUUGGGGGGCUGUGCCAUCCGUGGUUUCUCCUAGGUGGGAGUGGUCCAGCAUGUGCUCCAGGCUGUCACCCCGGAUAGCAAUGAGUUGCCUUCUUCAUUCCUGCAGGUGAGAUUGUUACGGGCCCAGCUGCCAGGAACUGUGGCCAUGUUUUAUGACCGGGAUGGAGGGUGUGUCAAGGAGGCCAUGCAUAAAGCUGGAGACAUCAUCUACCUCCUCAAGAGGGAGGGGCUUGGCUCCAUCUCCCAGGACAUUGCAGUCAGCCUUCGCCCCUUCAUUGAUGACGAGAGGGACAGUGUGUGCUCAGCUGCCAUUUUACUGCUUGGCAACGUGGUGAGCAGGGUGCAGGACCCAGACAAACCCCUCGUGGAGCAGGAAAUCAUCCACUGCUUGCUCCCACUGCUGCUGCAUCUUGAAGACCAGGAUGAGAUUGUGACUCUGAUGCAGAACAACAAGAGCCACAUCCCCAAAUUCCUGUUCCAGGCCCUAGAGUAGCUGGAAAGCUCACAGACAACAAUAAGACAUUCUGCAGCCUUGUUCAUUGGAAAUACUAUCCGCCAUUACUGCAAUUUGUUGUCUGAAACAGUGAAUGAAGAUGACAUCUCCCUCCUGUAUGACGGUAAGGAAAUACUGCUGUGUGUUUGUGCCUCUGUGGGAAGUCUAGGGGUGCAGCACAGGGCCCAAACACAGGUUUGAAUGUGGACACAGGUCCCUCUCUGUCUAAGGACAGCGUUUAAGGAAGAAGGAUGGUCAUGCGAGCUUUCAUCGAGGUACCAUAAUAUGUGUACGGGAGCAGGGGAAUUCCAUCCCUAGCUCCUAGUAUAGACGUAGCCUUAGAGCUGCGUGGGGAAACUCUCUUCAUCAAGGUCAGAAAGUCUCUAAAGGAAGGCCUGACGGAAUUGAAAAGAACCAUUGUUAUUAAGGAUGAUGAUGAUGAUGACGAUUACCCUCUGUAGGGGAAAGAUUCAUCACCUGCCCUCCCUGUAAUGGAGUGAUUGCAGGCCAGGGAACUUCACUCCCAGAUUGGUUAUCAGCUCAUAGGAAAUCCCAUGAGUGCACAUGGGAAACGCUUUUCCCUGUGACCUCUUCAGGAAUGAAGGCACAGGGCCACAAAGGAUUUCAGUAAACAUUAGGAGCCUAAUUCCCUUUCCCUCUCGGCCUAAAUGUUUGAUGGUUUAAUGCCGCUGCUACUGUCACUUUCCUGUUCCAUUGACUUUCCUGUUCCAUUGGACUCUGGCCUUUGGGCCACACAGCCCCGACGGAGAGGAUGGCUACAUGGACUCUGGUCGUUGGGCCACACAGCCCCGACGGAGAGGGCGGCCGCAUGGACUCUGGCCAUUGGGCCACACAGCCCUGAGUGGGAGGGCAGCCAUUUUGACUCUGGCUGUAAGGCCAAACCACCCUGAGGCUAAGGGCAGUUAUUUAGUUUAAGCCAUGGGACCUCGCCCCUUCACCCCUCAGGCAUCGCUCAUCUGUCACCAUAAGACCCACACCAUGAUAUAAGACUCUCGGGGUCAGGAUGCAAACAGGAGUAGAAGCAAGGAGUGGCAUGUGACCCCUCUAAGAGCUCCUGCCACUCCUCUACCAAUCUGGGGGUGUUUUAUCUCCAACCACCUGCCUCAGGAAUGGAUUUGAGCAAUGGGGGAAAGUUCUGGGGCAGAGUGUUUCAUAGGGUAAGUGCCUUGGUGGGGUGACCUGCCCACAAGAGGGGCCCAUCACGGCUCCAUGAAAUCCCCCCACCGUCCUCUACUAAUCGGUCAGGGUUUUGCACACACCCCUUAGGCCAUCCCAGAAGGGAAACGUACCGAUCAGAAUAGGCAGUGCCCGAAGGUCUAGGCCAGAAGCCGCCGAUCUCGGGAGCUCCAUGUUUACGUGGCUGGCAGCGUCGCCCUGGAAUUCACAACACAACACUGUGUGGAAGAGGCCGUCUCGUUCCAAGGAUGUCUUUUGCAGAAAUCAUGGCCUAGGCCUUCAGGCUAUACCUGUUCUGGAUUGGUACCUGUUUCCCUUCUGAGAUGGCCUAAGGUGAGAGUGAAACCCUCUCCAAUUGGUAGAGGGCAAUGUGGGGACUUUUUAGGGAUCCUGUUGCGGGCAGCUCACUCCACUACGGCACUUCCCGUAUUUGGUCAAAUCCCCUCUUGGAGUGGUCCUUCAGGGCUGACGCCCACUUCAAUUGGUAGAGGACAGAGGGAGGAGUUCUCACAGGGGAUAUACAGCCCCCUUCUGGAUGGGUCACCCUGCCCCGGAACGUCCCCGAAUUGGUCAACUCCAGUCUCCGGGUGUGUAAAAUGCUGUUUGCCACUGCCAAAUUUUUGUAAAAGAAGGGAAGAAAGGCAUGUACGUUUUGUGUUAUCUAUAAGGUGGCCAUCUUGGACUUGGCAAAAGAAUAUGAUGACCUUUUGCCAUUGGCUAUAUUAUUUUGGGUUGGGAAGCACACUCCCACGCACGGAUUGAAUCCGCGUAGAUAGGGUCUAACAUCCAGGCAGAGAAGACGCAAAGAGGGAUAGGGAGGGUUUUUAGUUAGGUCUACUCACCUCGUUCCUGUGUCCAUCGUUGAAGUCUGUCCCUGACCUCCAAUGUCAAGAGAGCAGAAGCUGUCCAUCGCUAUCCCUGCAAGAGAAGGUAGAAAGAACAUCAACAUUACCUCAUGGGUGUAAUUGCUUGUGAGAGUGGAGCAUUUCCAGAGUUAAAGUUUUGUUAAUCCACCGCUUCUCUAGCCUAUCUUAGUCCUUUUCCCUGUAAAAAGAAAAGGAGUACUUGUGGCACCUUAGAGACUAACAAAUUUAUUAGAGCAUAAGCUUUCGUGAGCUACAGCUCACUUCAUCGGCAUCCGAUGCAUCGGAUG
Molecule: long non-coding RNA, 4855 nt
Organism: Dermochelys coriacea (leatherback sea turtle)
Lineage: Eukaryota; Metazoa; Chordata; Testudines; Dermochelyidae
Exons: 7
Source: RefSeq, a predicted model, not a curated record